This 160-nucleotide small RNA is filed under the name Gopherus agassizii (Agassiz's desert tortoise). RNAcentral's name for it is "TUC338 (ENSGAGG00000006887.1)". The record is from RNAcentral. Lineage: Eukaryota; Metazoa; Chordata; Testudines; Testudinidae.
CCCUCAGCCUGAAGCCCCCUGUUUAUGCUUCAGACAGAUACAUCAUAGGCAGCAGCAGUCCAAGCGUCACCUGCAUCACCCCACCAAUGUGCUUCAGACUCAACUCAGAAUGAUCACCCCUACAAGGGUUGUUUGCUCUGCUAAAGGAGCCAGAGGAAAG